Long non-coding RNA from Astatotilapia calliptera (eastern happy), 1062 nucleotides. The record is from Ensembl. NCBI's taxonomy places the organism in Eukaryota, Metazoa, Chordata, Actinopteri, Cichliformes, Cichlidae.
AAGAAGCUUCAGCUGAGAGCUUCAUGCAGUCAUCAUCAGCAGCUCAUAGCAGUCACAGCUCUUUAUUACGCAGCUUUGCAGGAAUUAAAGUGGCUGAAGUGUCAGAGUUUGUGUGAGAAGCUGCUUCAUGGACAGCUGUACACACGUCUUUAUUAUUUCUUCAUAAAUCAAACACACAGGUUUGUCUGCAGAUGAUUUAAAGUGUGUCGUUGUGCAGUUAAAGCUGUUGGUGUGACGCCCUGACCUCCUGUGAAUGAAACAGCCAAUCAGAUCCAUCAGAGAGAGAGCAGGAAGUGUUGUGUGUUUGUGACAGAACAAGGAAACAGUGAUGAUGAUGAACAUAAAGAUCCUCUGAUGACGUGCUUGUGUUUCCUGUUACAGUAACGCUUGUUCAUCUGUUGCUCUCCUACACUUUCCUAUUGUUGAGAUUAUUCUGUUAUCAUAUGUUACCUUAUAUAUGUAAUCAAAUAGUUGAAUUAUGAUACUGCUGUAGAUCAUAUUAUACCCUUUAAUAUAGAGUGUGUGAUCAGUAUGUAGUUUAGUCCUCAUUAUACUUUUGAGUUAAAAGAACAUAAUCAUUUUGUAGUUCAUUAGAUAAGUGUGCAUCACUCUGUAUCCUUGAUCGGCUGUGAAUGUCUUAUACUGUUUUCUUGACAUGCUUUACUGCUGAAUCAUCAAGAGAAGGUUGUAAGCAGGAGACUUGGUGUCUAGGGAGAUAGACAACAUUCCACACCCCCACCUUUGCAGGGAGCAGAGAAGACAGGGAGCCGAGGUCAUAAUUUAGGCGCCGUAAGAGAGAAAGAAUGUGAAUGUUUAGGCUUUUACGACUAGGUGGGGGCCACUAGAGAGUAUAAAAAGCUGAGUAACCCGUCACCAUUUUGAGACAUGCUGCUGACCCUCUGCAGGCAUCUCUCCCGUCCGGACGUUGUAAUGCUCUUAUGUGUUGAAUUGUAUGGAAAUAAAUGAUUGUUGAUUGAGCAUUUAUACACCGAGUAUUGUCCUUCCUUCAGCCCAAAGAUUCAAAGAAUUGGGAUUUUUAACACUAUAAAUAAAGGAGAAAAA